CUGAUGCAGCUGGAAGUGGGUUUAUUCCUGUUGAUGAUCUCACUUCAAAGAUUCUUCCGGUGAUCAAGGGUUCAGAUAAGUAUGGAGGUGUGAUGCUUUGGUCCAAGUAUUAUGAUGAUCAAUCUGGAUAUAGCUCUUCCAUUAAGAGUCAUGUUUAGAUGUUCCCUUGUAAACUUUAUUCGUAUGUUACCGAUGUUUUUAUUGUGAUGAAAUUUAUGUUGACGAGUGGUUGUUCGUAAUCUUUGAUUUGUUGUUAAAUUUUUACAUAUUCUACUUUCACAUGUGCUAACAGAUGUGAAUCUUUUUUACUUUUUACUUACUAACGAGCUUAAAGAAAAAUAUGCAAGAAAUUAAAAUCAUGAGGAUUGCACAUGUAAGGAAAUGCAAAGUUGGACUAAAGUUUUGAUUUUUUAUAAACUACAAGGAUCAUUUAUGUAAUUUUGUCUAACCGCAACACAAACUGGUCCCUCUAAUUAAUAAAAAGAGGGAGUGAUUGUGUCAUGGAGGAGUUCAAAGUAUUAGCUAUAAUCAACAAAGAGAUUCUUAUGAAUUCUGAACUUUUUGCAUUAAGAUUAUUGAUUUAACGUCUUAAUCUUAUUAAUCUUUUGAAAGGGUUAAAUACAAUACACAACAUGUUUUUUUGUUUAUCAUAGCAUCCUACUUCCAUUCUUCAUACUACUACAUCACACUUUAACCCAAAUAUAGCAGUGUCAACCAAAUGGCAGUAUUCAUUGCUAAAGUUAUGUAGAUUUUUAAAGUUUAAUGGUCUAAUAAGACAAAAAGUCUAGAAAUUAGAAUGAUAUGAUAAAGUAAAUUUUUCAAAGCAACAUGCCUUAAAAAAGAUUUUUUGAGUCACUAGCAAACCAGAUUGCAGCUAUCAGAAUUUGUCUUCCAUUUCGACUUAACGGGAAGAAUAAAUAAACCAUUAACCAAUUAAGAGCCACCAAUUAAAUGUAAACUUAAGCAACAACAUCUCCUGAUUAGCCAAUUAUCUUCUUUCGAUUCUAAAUUCAAGAUAUAUUUACUUUGAAAAAGCACAUUAAACACCCCCUUGUACGAUCAAAUUUGACAGGCAUUUGUCGUCUGAAGUAAUUUGGGUAAUUAGAAAUCCAAUUAGUUUAGCAAUUUCAUCAAGUACAAUUAGAUUAAUUAUCCUUUUUUUUUCCCAAUAAACUGAUUUGGGAAUAAAAAAUCAUGAACUUGAACUCCUUCAUAUGUUUAAAUACAUACCUACACAUCAUACGAAAAAGUAAUUACCUUUGAUGGCCAAACGACGAUUAGCCUCCAACAAUCUGAGAAGCUCAAGCAAAGCAGCCCCAUUAGAAUACAUCUUGAAUAAUUUCCAGCAAUUUUACAAAUGAAUAUUCAUUUUUCACAUUCUUCAUCAAUUCAUCUGGAAAUAGAGUGACCGGUUUUUUUCAACCGGUUUGAUUAUAGAGGGAAGAUCGACUCUUGUGAAAUUGAUAUCAAGGGUGGUGUUGACAGCGACGACAGUGGAAGAGACACGGUGGCGUUCGGAGGUCGGCUCGUCGAGAACAUCUAGGUAACCGUUGUUGUUUAGCCAAAAUCUCACUAACGAAGCUGACUCCACAAAAGUGAAAUUACUUUUAUUCCCUCACGUGAGGGCCACAUUCCUCUCUUGGACGGAAGAAACACUCAGGGUUAAGAUCUAACCAGAACCCUUCACAUGAACCACCCAUAAUAAAAUCUCAAUACUAGAACCAAAAGUGAGAUUUUAGCCAAACCACAAGGACCAAAAUUGUAUUUUACAGUAUGGUUCUAGAAGUAUACUAGGAAGCUGUUAAAGGGAAUUGGAAAUCUAUCCCUUAUCCAUAUUUUAACAAUUGUCAAAUUACAAGAAUUGAAAAUACAAAAUUUCAUUGUUAAUGCCCUGGUCACCAAUUGGACCAAACUGAGUUAAUUUAAAUACCAUGUACAAAUAAAAACUAAAAACCCACAAUCCAAAUUGUAAAUUCCAAGGUAAAU
This 1986-nucleotide long non-coding RNA is filed under the name Lactuca sativa (garden lettuce). RNAcentral describes it as "long non-coding RNA (LSAT_LNC007008)". Lineage: Eukaryota; Viridiplantae; Streptophyta; Magnoliopsida; Asterales; Asteraceae. The record is from RNAcentral.